This 170-nucleotide ribosomal RNA is filed under the name uncultured bacterium. RNAcentral's name for it is "partial 16S ribosomal RNA". It matches the Rfam family "Bacterial small subunit ribosomal RNA", at positions 337 to 501 of the family's 1533-position model. The record is from RNAcentral.
UCCUACGGGAUGUAGCAGUGGGGAAUUUUGGACAAUGGGGGCAAGCCUGAUCCAGCCAUGCCGCGUGAGUGAAGAAGGCCUUCGGGUUGUAAAGCUCUUUCGGCGGGGAAGAAAUAGCACGGGUUAAUAUCCUGUGUAGAUGACGGUCCCGAAUACGAGCCCCGGUUCCU